AUACAGGGUUAUUCAGGAGUAUUACGCUAACUGAAGUUAGCUUGUCCAUUUGAUUUCAAUGGCAGAACUCACUUCCGAUAGUGUGAUACUCCUGAUUGGUCCUGUACAUCGAAACGAGUGAUUGGAAUCUCCGAAGACUGAUGGGAGCAUCAGAGAUGAAAGGAGCGACGUGUGAAUUUCUCAUUAUUAUACAGAAAAAAAAAAAAAAAAAAAAAAGUAAUAGCUGGCCCUGGCAGGCGCUUCCGGUACCCUCUAAGGGAUGCAGAGUAAAGCCGCACCGAUAAUAUAAAGAUUCACUCAAGAAGCCAGUCACGUCUCACUAGGUAAUAUAUGCAGGGAAACUGAGUAAAACAAAACAGUUGUACCGAAAUUGAAUACAAAUUUUCAGAUGCAAAGUAAAAGGACGACAGAGACAGAAGAAGGAAGUGGACCCAUUCGAGCAAAGCAGCGAGCGCGUGAAAUGCGCGGGAAAUUCGACUGUGCGUAACAGCCGUAGCCACGUUAAUAUAUUUUCCAACUGAAAAUAUUUUCGAGGGCCAGAACUUGCGGAAUCCGAUGAUAAAAAUCCAUACCUUCUUGUAAGGGCAGAGAAGAAGUUUAUCCAAUUGAAUCUAAUUCAUUUAAAAGUUUGAUAGAAGAAGCAGCACGAGGGCGACCAGCGGACAAGGAUCACUGAUAAAAAAUUCGUAUCGGCUUGUAUGACUUAGGCACCUACACUCGUAUGCCACAUCGGACUUGGGAACGUAAAGAGUUGGGAUACCGAGGCAAGAGGGCAUAAAAAAAUGGAAAAUAAAGAAGUACCCGUAAACCAGAGCACCACUUGUGCUUUUCUGGGUAUAUUUGUCCAGAAAAUUCGACGAGUGCCACAAAAGGAGAAGAGGAGCAAAAAGUUUAUGAGGCUCAGGGUCUAGCGUCUUCGAAUGAAAAUUCAGGCAGAAGCGAAGAGGAGAAGAAUGAGUGAAAUGAAGAUCCUCAGGCCCUCGUUAAUAUUCAUCUCUCGAAAAGCAAUCGGCAUGGUUCGCCUGAUUCUACCAAGACGCUUCUGAUGCGUGAUACAGAGCAAGACAGAGAGAUUUCACCAGGAUCAAUGGCUCGUCUCCACCGGUGACUGCUGGACCAUGAUCUUCAGGUUGAUAUUCUGUCACCGAUGACGUUUGUCAGAUUACGCCAAUUGGAGAACGUUUAAGGCUCAUUUAAGCCGACGGUAUCGAGAAUCGUGACGUGUUAGCUCACACAGUCCAUCCGCUUGGAGGGAAACUGCGUUAGAGGUAUUCAGUGAGCGAAUGAAUAGGGACCAGGGAUGGCUGGCUGGUUGGCUGACUGGAAGGGUGGCUGGAUGGCUGGCUGACUGCCAGACAGCAAGUAACUUAUUAUAUCUGGCAUUAAAUUAUUAUAGAGCCCGCCCGACAAUGGGCACAGCCGAGUGCAUAGGAAACGAUUAAGCCGAACCGACAGAUCCAGAGAAUUGUGGAAGGGACUCCUCGUUUCACGCCACCACCUCUGGUAAUAGUGCGAUUCGUGUGAAGCAAAAAAAAAAAAGAAUAUAUGAAAUUAUGACCAAAAAAAAUAGAAGAGUGGAAGAGAAAAAUUAUAAAAACCUACUCUUGCCAUCUUCGUUCGCCCACCAUCCUCUUCGGAUGGACUUUGUGUGACGUGGAGAAUUUUUUUAAUUUCAAAAACCAAAUUGCACGAAAAUUAUACCUACCCCUAUGAUAAUGUACGCCCGUUCUAAAUGGACCGACUCGCGACGUAUAAAUCACAUCACCCACGUAUAAAAUACCGUACACU
Molecule: long non-coding RNA, 1788 nt
Organism: Cephus cinctus (wheat stem sawfly)
Lineage: Eukaryota; Metazoa; Arthropoda; Insecta; Hymenoptera; Cephidae
Exons: 5
Source: RefSeq, a predicted model, not a curated record